Molecule: ribosomal RNA, 484 nt
Filed under: uncultured bacterium
Lineage: Bacteria
Description: partial 16S ribosomal RNA
Rfam family: Bacterial small subunit ribosomal RNA
Source: RNAcentral
AUUGAACGCUGGCGGCAGGCCUAACACAUGCAAGUCGAGCGGAUGAAGGGAGCUUGCUCCUGGAUUCAGCGGCGGACGGGUGAGUAAUGCCUAGGAAUCUGCCUGGUGGUGGGGGAUAACGUCCGGAAACGGGCGCUAAUACCGCAUACGUCCUGAGGGAGAAAGUGGGGGAUCUUCGGACCUCACGCUAUCAGAUGAGCCUAGGUCGGAUUAGCUAGUUGGUGGGGUAAAGGCCUACCAAGGCGACGAUCCGUAACUGGUCUGAAAGGAUGAUCAGUCACACUGGAACUGAGACACGGUCCAGACUCCUACGGGAGGCAGCAGUGGGGAAUAUUGGACAAUGGGCGAAAGCCUGAUCCAGCCAUGCCGCGUGUGUGAAGAAGGUCUUCGGAUUGUAAAGCACUUUAAGUUGGGAGGAAGGGCAGUAAGUUAAUACCUUGCUGUUUUGACGUUACCAACAGAAUAAGCACCGGCUAACUUCGUG